RNAcentral lists this long non-coding RNA (39259 nucleotides) under Lupinus angustifolius (narrow-leaved blue lupine). RNAcentral's name for it is "long non-coding RNA (LANG_LNC003704)". The record is from RNAcentral. Lineage: Eukaryota; Viridiplantae; Streptophyta; Magnoliopsida; Fabales; Fabaceae.
ACUUAAAAAGCUUUCUAGGAUUAACAUCGAUAGAAAACGAGUAAUCCUAUUGCAUGAACAACAAAUUAUUAAAAUGCAAAAAAGAGUUAGAUGAGUUAAAACUUGAAAAUUAAUCCUUAGACCUAAUCUACUCUUGUAGCUCAUGUAAUUUCUCGAAAGAUAAUUUAUGUCAACCUAAUGUAUGCGAUACUUGCGAAACGUUGCAAAAUGAAAAUUCAAAUUUAAAAGAAAAACUCGCAAAGCUUACAUACAGUAGAUUUAACCUUGACACUUUACUUGCUGAAUCUAGAAAUCCACAUGGGAUUAGGUUAUAAACCACAAACUAGCAAGAAAAGACCAUACAGGAAACCUGUAGUAUAUAAUCGUAAAAAGUUACACACUCACAUACCUACUUGUUUCUAUUGCGGCACUUAUGGCCAUACUUAUACUUCAUAUUAUAUUAGAAAAUAUGGUGUGACGGAUGGUUUUUACAUUUGGGUGAAGAAGGGACAAAAUACCAUGGUUGCUAACAAAAAGGGACCCAAUAACAAUUGGGUACCUAAACAGGUCAAGUAAUUUGUUUUGCAGGUAUGCCUACGUACGCAUGGACAUCAUUGGUACUUAGAUAGCGAUGUUCGAGGCAUAUGACAGUUGAUAGAUCGAAAUUCCUAGAUCUAUCACUCAAAGAAAAAGGGUAUGUCACUGAUGGCGACAACAAUCAAGGGAAAAUACUUGGAGUUGGAACUAUUGGUAAUGCUUCUCAAGUUGUGAUAGAGAAUGUGCUCUAUGUGGAAGGUUUGGAGCACAACUUGUUAAGCAUCAGUCAAUUGUGCAAUAAAGGUAACAAAUUAUCCUUCGAUUCUAAUUGUUGCAUUAUUCGUGAAUGUUUAUCUAAUAAUGUUAAGUUCGUUGGUCAUCGUAUAAAUAACAUAUACAUGGUUAAUUUGGAGGAUGUCACUACAUUGUUCUAAAAAUUAUUUAUCUCUAGAGAGAAUGACAUUUGGCUUUGGCAUAGGCACACUGAACAUAUACACAUUAAACACUUAGAUAAAUUGUCUUUACAUGAUUUAGUUGUUGGUCUACCUAAACUUAAUUUCAAAUCUAAAGAAGCUUGCGACACUUGCCAAAAGUGUAAGCAAGUUAAGAACUCAUUUGCAACUAAAAAUGUAAUCUCCACAACUCGGCCUUUAGAGCUUCUCCAUAUGGACCUAUUUGGACCAUCACAAAUCUUGAGUUUUGGAGGUAGUUACUAUACCUUAGUAUUUGUAGAUGAUUUUUCUAGUUUCACAUGGACCAUGUUCCUUUCUGCUAAAAGUGACGCAUUUAAAUCCUUUAAGAGACUUGUCAAGCAAAUCCAGAACCAACUUAACCUAAAAAUUGUAUAUAUAUGAAAUGACCAUGGUGGUGAGUUUGAGAACCACUUGUUCGAAAAAUUUUGCGAUAAAUAUUGUAUCAUGCACCAAUACUCUGCUCUUACAACUCCUCAACAAAAUGGAGUUGUUGAGAGGAAAAAUGAUGUAUUAGAAGAGCUGGCCAGGACUACGCUUAAUGAAAGCAAAGUACCUAAAUACGUUUGGGCCGAUGCCGUACAUAUGGCUUCCUAUGUUAUAAAUAGAGUACUUCUUUGACCAAAACUGUUAAAAACUCCUUAUGAGUUAUUAAGAGGCCGAAAAUCCAAUAUAUCUCAUCUUCAUGCCUUUGGAUGCAAAUGUUUCAUUUUGAACAGUGGAAAAUGAGCUUUAGGAAAAUUUGAUUCAAAGGUUGGCGAAGGUAUAUUCUUAGGGUAUUUGAUGCAUAGUAAAACAUUUAGAGUUUUUAAUAAAUACACUAUCAUUGUAGAAGAAUCGAUUCAUGUGCAUUUUGAUGAAUCUUCUCCAAAAGAGAAGAGAAAAGUUUUGUCUAAUGAUGUUAUAGGUGCUUUGGAAGAAGCAUAAUAUAAGGACAUGGAAAAGGACAAAGAAGAUAAAGAUGAUCAAGAAGUCAAUGAGGACCAUCAUGACUUGCCGAGGACGUGGAAAACCAAGAAAUACCAUCCACUCGAUAAAGUAUUAGGUGAUAUCUCUACAGGGAUGGUAACCCGUAGCUCUUUGCAUAACUUUUGUAAUUCCGUUGCUUUUGUAUCACUUGUGGCCAAGGGAUACAACCAAGAGGAAGGUAUCGAUUACGAUGAAACUUACGCCCCUGUUGCGAGGUUAGAGGCCAUAUGGAUGCUAUUGGCAUUUGCAUCAAUUAUGAAUUUUAAGUUGUUCGAAAUGGAUGUUAAGAGAUCCUUUUUGAAUGAAUUCAUUCAAGAGGAGGUGUGCAUUGAGCAACCACCCGACUUUGAAAAUUAUAAAUUUCGGAACCAUGUCUAUAAGCUUACAAAGGCACUUUACGGCCUAAAGCAAGCUCCUCAAGCUUGGUAUGAUCGGUAUGAUCGACUGAGCACUUUUCUCUUAGAAAAGGGGUUCGUUAGGGGCAAAGUCGACACAACGCUCUUUAUCCAAAAAUCAAAUAAUCAUGUUUUACUAGUUUAAAUAUAUGUUGAUGAUAUUAUCUUUGGAGCUACUAAUGACCUCCUUUGCAAGAAAUUUUCUGAUUUGAUGCAGGGCGAAUUUGAAAUCUCAAUGAUGGGAAAGCUUGCCUUCUUCUUGGGAUUACAAAUUAAGAAAAUGGACAACGACAUAUUUGUUCAUCAAUCAAAAUACUGCAAAGUAUUGCUAAGCAAAUUAGAGAUGGAAAAAUGCAAAGAAGCAUCCACUUGUAUGACAUCCUCAUGCUAUUUAGACAAUGAUGAUAACGGGAAAGGGGUAGAGGUAACCAAAUAUCAUGACAUGAUAGGCUCGUUAUUAUAUUUAACCGUGAGUCGUCCUGAUAUUAUGUUUAGUGUUUGUAUGUGUGCUAGAUAUCAAUAUAUGCCUAAGGAAUCACACUUUACUUCUGUUAAAUGUAUCAUGAGAUAUUUAAAGGAACCCUUAAUAUGAGACUAUGGUAUCCUAGGGAUGUCCUACUUUCCUUGGUAGGUUAUUCCGAUUCUGACUUUGCUGGGUGUAAACUAGAUCGGAAAAGCACUACUGGUACUUGCCACCUAUUAGGCAGCUCCUUAGUGUCAUGGCAUAGCAAAAAGCAAGCUUGUGCUUCUUUAUCCACCACCAAAGCGGAAUACAUUACCGUCGGUAUGUGUUGCGCUCAAAUCCUUUGGAUGAAGCAACAAGUUAUGUACUUCGGUCUCUCUUUGGAAAAGAUACCGAUAAAAUACCAAAAUACAAGCGCUAUAAACCUAUCCAAGAAUCUCAUUCUGCAUUCUAGAACUAAGCAUAUAGAGAUAAGACAUCAUUUUUUGCGUGAUCAUGUUCAAAAAGUUGAUUGUAUACUUGAAUUUGUUGAAACCACUAAACAACUAGCUGAUAUUUUCACCAAGCCCCUUCCACGGGACUCGUUCUUUGUUCUUAGAAGAUAACUUGGAAUUAUUUAUGAAAAAUAUCUUAACUAGCUUAAUUAAUGGUGUUUUUGUGCCUUUUGCAUGAUAAAUGUGUUCAUCUAUAUGUUAUAUGUAAAUACAUGCUUCCCUUUGUGCUUAAUAAUUUGCCUUCAUGAUUACAUGCUUAAGUGUUAGAAGUGUGUAAUCCUGUCUAGAAUAGGUUCUUAGGUUAAGAGUCUUAGCAUACUAUGUUAAUCUCAAAAACACACUCAAAUGUGCAAUUUUACUAAUGUUAAUCGAUUACCAUGGAUGAUAAUUGAUUAAACUGAGUUCCAGUAGCUGAACACUUUUCAAAAUCUCUAUCUUCAUCGAUUAAGUAUUCCUUUAAUCGAUUAACUAGGCUUAGUUUCAUAAGAUUUUAAUAGAUCUUAAUCGAUUAACGUAAGGCUUGAUCGAUUAAAGACAGUAAUAUAAAAUAGAUUCAAUGUGCUUCUGGGAAAGUUUUUCAAACCCUAAAAUCUCAAUUCCUACCUUUUCUCUUUCUAGUUGUGAAAUUGAUCUUUUUCUUCAGUUUAGUAAUCCAAAACAAGUGUCCUUAAGUCUUGUUGGCUGCCUAUUAGCCUCCAACCAUCAAGAAAUCCAAAAAUCCAUUUAUCCCCAAACCUAAAACCCAAACCAAAAAUCACCCCAAAUCGAUUAUAGUUUCCCAAUCUCACAACAAUGGUUGAUGGUAAACAAAAGAGAGUUAAGACUACUGGAAAUCAUCCUAGAAGAUAUGAAAUCGACUCUGUUUCGGCCAUGGUGAUAGGAGGGAUCGAGGUGACCCCUACUACUCACUGAUUUUGCAAGAAACUCGCCUGACUAAGUUUCAAGGGAGGAAACCAACCUAUAUUCUAUAUGUGGAUAUGGCUUGGAUGCUAUCUCAAGGAUUUGAGUUUCCACACGAAUUGGAAGUUCUGGGUGUGACCCAGUUUCUAGAGCUUCAUGGUAAUGUAUACCCUGCUCUCGUUAGGAAAUUUUAUGCAAAUUUUAGAUAUAAAGACUGAACUUAUCUGUCUAUGGUUGUGGGAAAACUAGUUGAGUUGAAUGAAGAACUGUUUCUAGAUGUGGGUGGAUUGGCUAGUGAUGGAUGUUGCCUUGGAGACUGCACAAAUGAUUUAUGGAACUCAUUCGAUGCGACUGAAAUGUACAAAUCGUGUCUCAGGAGACCUCAUAUGUAUGUGCAAGGUGAGCUAACUAAAGCUGGAUUAUUAUCUAUUGAGAAUCGUCUUCUUCAUUACAUUGUUGCGUAUAUUCUGGUUCAAAGGAAUACAAACCAUGCUCAGCCUACUAUAAAUGACCUGAAAUUCAUGUUUGUUGUCCAAGAAAAUGUAAGGAUCAAAUGCCCUGAAGAGAUUCUGAAGGUUAUGAAUGACAUCUCAACCUCAUCGAACAAGCUGCUUGCAUAUGGUAUAUUCAUAUCGCGUAUCAUUGACCAUCCAUAUAUAGAUACAUCAGAUACGUUGAUCAUUACAACGAACUCUCGUGAGCACUUGAUUGGAGAUAAUCUUAUCCACAAAAUAGGUUUUUACAAGUACAACAAUGCCUGGGAAUAUCAGGAGGAUCAUAACACUAUUGUGGAUUUGGACUUAUUUGAUGAGUAUGUUCCCAUGAAUUAAUCGAUUCUAGAAAAUNNNNNNNNNNNNNNNNNNNNNNNNNNNNNNNNNNNNNNNNNNNNNNNNNNNNNNNNNNNNNNNNNNNNNNNNNNNNNNNNNNNNNNNNNNNNNNNNNNNNGGAGGCUUCUGCUAUGCCUCAAGAACCUUCAUUCGGGAUAGCUCAGUUAGAUGAUAUGAAACAUAGGCUCAAUGCUCGCAUUGACACACAUUAUGAGUCUCUAAGGAACAUGCUUCAUUCUGGGUUUGAGAGGCAAAAUGAUCGACUAAAUGAAAGAAUCAACCGUUUGGAUUUCCUCAUCCGGACCACUCAUGACAUAUUGCAUCCUCAAGCAAGAAGUCCUCCUUCACCAUCUUAGGGUUAGUCUAGGAGUGUCUAGCCUAUAGGGUGUUAUAUUUUGUCGUCCAAUAUUGUGUUUUGGGUCUUGUACUUUUUGUUAUGUUUGUACUUGUUUCUUUCAUUUUUCAAAAUAUCAUGCUUGGUUGGACUAUUUCUAAUUAUGUCGAAUGGUUUAGGAAUGUUUGGUUUUAUGAAUAUCUUGACCAUAUCUUUCGUGUAUGCCAUCUACAUUGGAUUAAUAAAUGUUUAACCUGACUAUAUCAGAACUGCUAAUCAUUCUAAAACUGAUUGAAUAUUUACAUGUUGAAUGUGUCAUAUAAACCUUGUUCAUAUUCUGUUUUUUUGUCAAUUUAAUCGAUUAAGUACCAUUGAUAAUCGAUUAAAUGCAGAGAUUAUGUGCAUUUGUUCAAUUUUUCAAAAACUGUUUAAUCACAUUAAAGCUUGUACUUUCUGACUAAUUAUAGUUUAUUACCACAAACUUUAUAUCUCUUCUUACUUUUGACCAACUAUUAUCACUUAAUUGUCUACACUUUUUGAUCAUAUCAAAAGGGGGAGAAAUGUUGUUUUUUUUGUCGUUUGAUGUGUUUUAGGUUGAUGAGCUUCCGUACGUAAGUUUGCUAGCUACUUGUAUGACUUUCACCUCAUAGCUUGGUUGAGGGGGAGAACAAAGUAAGGUGUAGCAUCACAACUUUGACAUAUAACCAACCUAAGCAAAGAGUCAAGACUUGCACAUCAAAAAUUGGUGAAGUGUUUGUCAUCAUCAAAAAGGGGAGAUUGAAAGUGCAAAGAGUCAAGACCUGCACAUUUAUGGCUAACCGAACUUUUGAUGAAGCAAACACAAAUACAAGAAAGUUUGAAGAUCGUACAACAAACAAUGACCCGAAGAAUCAUAGGUUGCAUCUAUAGAGUAGGACUUUAUUAUUUUUACUUGUAAUUAGAAGUCUUAAGAUGUGUGCCUUAGUUUGAGUCUAGGUUAGGUAAACUUAGGUGGAAAGUCUCACAAGAGCUAAUAUAGAACAAGAUUAAAAUUGAGACAUAUCAUCUAGAUACCUUAUGAUAAUUAGACUCAUGCAUACAUAUAUAUAGUGUCAUGCAUUAAAAGUAAUAUAUUUUGAAAAACUAUGUAAAGCAUGUGCAUAUCAUAAAGGUAAUUUACCAUACAUUCCUUACAUCAAAGAAAAACAUUUUUAACUCAGCAUAAUCGAUUAUCUAGAAUUCUGUUAUUAACCGAUCUGAUUCUAUUAGCAUGUUAAUCAAUUAAGUCACCGUAUAAUCGAUUAAGACGUAAUUGAAAACUGAUUUUUAACCGCCCGUUAAUUGAUUAAAUGGAAGGAUAAUCAAUUAAUAUCAGUAUCAGUAUGUUUAGUAUAAAUUCUGCAUUUCUUGCCAAUGUGGCAUAACUUGCAUUUUUUGAAAAGUUUUAGAGAGCAUACAUUUUCAUAGAUUGCUUUACAGUGAGAAUUUGCAUUUAGAAAAAUUAGGGAGUGAAAGCAUUAUGAUUUAACAUCAUUGCAUCUAGGCUCUAGUUUUCUAUGCAUCAAUUUCUUGCAUGUUAUUCUGGAUUUCUUUGAGUGAUUUGUGAGGAAAAUCGGUUUCUACAAAGAAUGUUAAACAUUUUUUAAAUCCUAAUGCAUUAAUUUCAUUAAGAAUUAGGAUCUUGUGAAUUUUCUGCUUUAUGUUUUAGAUUGAGUUUCAAUUUUUGAAUUCGAGUAUUAAGAACUCAAGUCAACUUAAUAUAUUCUGUUUGAACAAGGAAGUUGAUCUCUUUGUGAAUUGCUUUACUACGAGAGAGAUCUUUGUGAUCUUCACAGAGGCUAAGAGGUCUUAGUUCGAGUGAUACCAAGGAUAGGGCCGAUCACGAAAGGAUAUGAGAUCUUAGUAAGCGAUUUAGUUAGGUCUAACCUAGGUUGUCAAGCUCAUAGGGUCUAAGUAAAGAUCGACUUAGUUUUUCUGAUUUUGUAAUUGGUAAUGUGGUUGUAAAACUCAGCAAUUGCAAUAGUUGAAGAAAAAUAUCCUGAGAUCAGAAAAGGAGGCCUGGAUGUAAUUUGUAGUGGACCACAAACGAACUAGGAUAAAAUUCAUUGUGCACCUCUUUACUUUUCUGUCUUUACUAGAGGUGUCAAAACGGGCCAGCCUGGUUGGGCUGGCCCGCCAAAGCCCGAAAAUUUGUAGGGCUUGGAUAUCAUUUUAGACACUUUUUAUUGCAUCUAGGCUUUUUAGUCCGGUUGGUCUAUAUGAAAAUCGAGCUCAGGCAGGGCUUACCCGGGCGGGCUCAGGCUACUUAUUUUUCUUUAUUUUUUAAUCUUUUUUGGAAAUUUUGGCUUGGUAAUAAGCCUUAGGUAAAAAUUAUUUUACAAAACAACUUAUAAUGAAAAAUAGAUAAUAAAUAUUAUGUUAUAAAUUGUGAAUAAAAAAUAGAGUAAUGUCUAUACCAUAAAUAUUUAUAAAUUACAAUAAUGUUAUAAAGUUAAACAUUAUAUUAUUUUUCCUAUUUUGCAUAAUAUACUUUUAAGCCCAAUAAAAAAUAAUGUAUCAAAUCAAAUUAGAAGUCAUUAAACAAUAUAGAUUUCACUUUUCUUUUCUUAAUUGUGUACCUAAUUAGAUUUAACUUCCACAACAAAAACAUAAUAAAGAAAAUAACUUUUGCAACAAAAUUAAAAAACAACAUAAUUUUACCCCAUAGAGAACUCCAUGCAACCAAGUUUAAUAUAAUAGUUCAUAAUAAAAGUGUUGAUAAGGAACAUACAAAAAAUAAUAUUUUUGAUAGUUCCAAAAAGUUUAUAUAUUAUAGUGAAGUCCAAAUUAUAUUGUGUUAUAAAGCGAGAGUCCAAUAAAAAUGAGAUAUUUAAUAAAUGAGUUAUGUUAAAAAUUAUAUAUGUGGACUUCACGUCUUAACUAAAAAAACAAGACAUUAAAUAUAUAAUUUUGGUUGUAUUGGGUAUAGGAAUUGUGUUAAAAAAGUAUACAUUAAUAUCAAAUUAUAUAUAUAUUAAAUAGAUUAAAUAAGUUAAAAUUUAAAUAAUUUUUUUAAUAUUAUGCGGGUCGGCCCACCACAACCCGCAACCCGCUUAGGGAGGGUUUGGGCUACAAUUUGAUAUGCAUAAAUUGUAUCUGGGCUUUUUAGCCCGACCCAAUUUAGCCCGUUUUGACACCUCUAGUCUUUACUUUGUUGAUUAAUUGUGUUAAUAUGAGUUGCAUGCUAUAAUCUGUCUACUUUUUUUUGUAAUCUCAUUAAUUAAUUAACUGUGUAAAGAUUUGGUUAUCAGUUUAAUCGAUUACUGAGCACUGUUUAAUCGAUUAAGUCCAAGCAGAAUCGAUUAACUGUAGUCUUGUUUUAGUUUUGCGCAAAUAUAGGAAAAUCGGAACAAGAUAUGCGCGACACCUAAUCAACCCCUUCUAGAUGUAUUCUGACCUUUUGAUAUCCAAAAGGAAGUACAUCAAAAGUAAAGUGAAGAAAGUAAUGUGACACUUCUAUCCUUUAAAAUAUAAUAAUAUGUCACUUUUCCCUUAAAAUUGAUACAAAAUCAACCAUCAUUAAUUUAGUUAUUUAAAAACUGAAUAUAUAAUGUGAUGCAAUAUUGACCGAGAUGCACGAAGUGCCUGUACACACUAGUAACAAUAAUAUCAAAAUAUAAAAUCUAAAUCUUAAAGAAAAUGUCAUGUUUGGAUAGAUAAGGAUAAUUAUUAGAAUAGUUAUGAGUAAUAAUUAUUCUUAUUGAUUCAAAUUCAAUAGUUGAUGAUAUCAAUUUAGUAAAGAAGUAAUAUUGAACAGAAAGUUCACAAUUGCAUUCUUUACGGAAAUGUGGAAAUUUAAUUUAGGAAAUUUCUGACACAACCAUUCAAUUAAUUCAGAUUGUUUAGAUUUUUAACUCUGUCGAAAUAAAUAAAAAGUUUAUUUCUAUAGAAAAAGCCUUUGCCAUAUAUUUGAGAACUUUUAGUUUCUUGAAUAGAUGUCGGGGAAAACGAUUUACUAAAUUGAAACCAUCAGCUAUUGAAUUAAUAAGAAUAGUAAUCACUCAUAACUAUUGAUUUAAACAUUAUAUUUUCUUUUAGCAUUAGAUUUUAUUAUUUGGCUAUUAUUGUUAUUCGAAAAAAUUAUAUUUUAUUACUUUUAUUUAUUAUUUAAUAGAAAUUGCUUCUACCAAAUACCAAUUUCCUAUUACUUUAUCAUAUAUUGAAAUUAUUAUUAAUUUACAUUAUUAUCAACAUGGUUCAAAUUAUGAAUAUUGUUUCAUUUACAUUAUAUAUGUUAAUUCAUUUAAAUUACAUAAUUGUGUUGGAAAUUAUAAUAAAAUAAAAUAUUUAAUAUUUGAACAUGGAAGAUUUAAAAUAUGUAUCAAGCACUGAUAUUAGAUUUUAGUCCAGUAGUUGAUUCUUUUUCCACAUAUCAAGGUCCAAUAUAUUAUAUUUAUAUUGAGAGAUAAAAUCAGCUGUACCAAUUUUGUUUUUAAACUGUAGACUCUGUUACUUUAAACCUACUUUUUCAUGAUAGUUUUGUUUUCUUUCUCUACAAUAAAAUGCAUAAUUAUUAUAAGAGUGUAACCGAUAAAUGAACAACUGCUUUUGUUGAAAAAUUGACACUUAGUAAUAAAUGGGGGGAGAAAUUUCAUACCUACAUAGCUGUCUCAAACAACACUUGGACUAAGUCAAACUUCUUCGUUUAGUACACAUGAUUGCUCCACAUACAUGAUAUGAAUCGUUGAAGAUUCAAGCCUAUUUCCCUAUAUAUAUUGCAAAGCACAUUGAGUCCAUACUUCACCAGCAACCUUCAAAAACAAGAACUCCCCAUUUAUACCAAUUUGCAUAACAUUAAGCCAUCAACAAUGACUACCACCCGUGUAGCUCUCUACCUUACCUUUGCAUUCUUCUUCUAUGGUAAUAUAUUUCAACUACGUUUUCCAUUCUACUACUUUAGAAUUGUAUGUGUGUUUCGAUUAUGUAAGAAAUAAAAUUCCCCUUGGUAAUGGGUAUACCUAUUAACCUACAUUAAAACAAUAAACUUCAAUGAGCUCAUGACUAUUAAUUUGUAUGCAGUGACUCAAGGAGCCAAAGUUACCUUCACAAACAGGUGCAGUUACACCGUGUGGCCAGGGACCUUAACUGGUGACCAAAAGCCUCAAUUAUCAACAACUGGUUUUGAGCUAGCAUCAGGUGCUUCCAACUCAGUGGACCUCCCAGCUCCAUGGUCUGGUCGCUUUUGGGCUAGGACUGGGUGCUCAAACAAUAACGGCAAAUUCAGUUGUGCCACCGCUGAUUGCGCCUCUGGUCUAGUUGAAUGCAAUGGUGCAGGUGCGAUCCCACCAGCAACUUUGAUAGAAAUCACAGUAGCAGAGAAUGGAGGACAAGACUUCUAUGAUGUGAGCAACGUGGAUGGGUUCAACGUGCCCAUGUCAGUGUCUCCACAAGGUGGUAGUGGAGAAUGCAAAACAUCAAGCUGUCCCGCGAAUAUCAAUGCAGUAUGUCCCACAGAGCUGCAACUCAAAGGGUCUGAUGGGAGUGUAAUUGCUUGCAAGAGUGCUUGCUUGGCAUUCAAUCAACCUCAAUAUUGUUGCACCGAAGACCAUAACACAGCAGCUACAUGCCCUCCAACUAACUACUCUCAAAUUUUUGAACAGCAAUGUCCUGAUGCUUACAGUUAUGCUUAUGAUGAUAAGAGCAGUACAUUUACUUGCAACGCUAGACCUGACUAUGCCAUCACAUUCUGUCCUUGAACUCCAUCUUUAACUUCCUAGCUCUCUAGGAAAUGGACAUUAAUUGUCAUAUCUACGUUACUUUGGGAGAAAAUAAGUGCAAUUGAAAUACACACAUACAUAUAUAUAGUAUGACCCGAAAAGAAUAAAUAAUCACUUCUAUCGAUGAUUGUAUUAAUUUAUCAUCUAAUAAAAUUUAUCAUACUUCUCUUAUUUUGGGUUAGAGGUGUGUUGGUUUACUAUUAACUGGAACUACAUUUGUCUCCCUUAACAAUCGGGACAUCACUUAAUUUGCACUCAUGCAUGUCAAAUAGUAUUGAUAUAGCUUCUUUGUGACAAUCCUAGAGUCUAGAUGAGUCUCGAAGUAUUUGGAUCCCUAAUACAUAAAAGGUGUCUCCAAUAAGUUUGUGAAAUUUCUUGAUAAAAAUAUAUUGGAUUUGUACAACAUGCCUAUAUUGUUAGUGGCAAGAAGUAUGUCAUUAACAUACAAUCCUAGGAAAAUGUACUUUCCCCCAAUAAGUUUGUGAUACACACACAUUCAUUAGCCACAUCCAUCUUAAACAAAAAAGAGAGAGUCACCUAAUGAAACUUACGGUACCACUGGCGAGACGUCUAUUUUAGCUAAGAUAAUUUGUCUAUUUGCAAAUCAUUUUCUUUGGUCUCCUAACACAAAGUUUUAUGGUUUCACCAUAUAAAUAGUUUUAUCAGUAUUUACAUAAAUGUUCUAUUGACAUCAAUCUAAUUAAGCUCCAAAUCAUAAUGUGCAAAAAGAUAGAGUCAUGAUUGUCCUAAAAAGGCCUUAAAUAAAACCAUAAAGAAAAUCUCCUUAAAUUUAAUAUAUUCCUUUUGAGUUUAUCUUUUUGUUAUAAAACGAGACUUAAUUUUUUCCAUUUUAUAUUUGGAAUUUCUUUUGAUCUUAAAUAUUCAUUUGCAACCAAUAUAUUUAGGAUCUUAUAGUAUCGGGUGAAGUUCCCAAAUUUUUUUCACUGCAUUAAUUAAUCCAUUUUUCUAAAUUGAAAUCAAGUAUGAUUUCAGGAAAAUUACUCAGAUCAUUUUGCAUCAUUCUUUCAUUUUCCUCAUGAUCUUAGUUAAAUACUAUAUAGUUAUCCAGAACAAUUAAUUCAUCUUGAGGAUCUUGAGUUCUAAUAAGCUAAUUCAUCUUGAACUAGAGUUUCAACAAAUUUGUCUUGAAGAAGUUUUGUACUAGCUUCAUCAGAAGUAUAUGUAUGAAUAGGCCAUUAAAUUAAACUCGAUUAUUCCGAUCCUCAAAGAAUAUAGAAGUUCUCGUAGCAUUUAAUUUAGAAUUAUAAAACUUAUAGUUAGAAAUAUUCUCUGUACAUUUCAUAAAGUUGGUAUCAUUAUUAUGAACCUUAAAGUCUGAAAAAGAACAAAAUAAACAAAUUAAAUAUCCCACUUUAUAUUUUAAGUUCAAAAAUAAUCAAAUUCAAAUAAUGACGAAAGUCACCCCAAAAUUCAUAGUACAAUAAUAAUGUUGAUUGUGUACGUCAAAUACUAACUCAUUUUUUGGAACAAUUUCUCACUCAAAUAUACAAUUUUAUAGUUAUCCUAUGUUUAUCAUUACAUGUGAGCAAAUAAUCUUGCUAGUUAUUAACUUUCCUUUUAGUAGAUUAAUAUUUUUUUGGUUUCCCACAAGUACGUGGAGCUAAUUCUCUCAGUGGACAUUUUUUCUAUUCACAAGACUUGAACUCGAAACAUUGUUUAAGGAAAAUCAAACAUGUACCACUUAAACCAAGUUCGUUUGUUCAGCAUAUUAAUAUGCUUAUACAUACUAAAAUUUAACAUUUCUCAUAUGCAAUAGUCACAAGAAAAGUCAAAUUCCUAACAUUUAACAUUUCUCGUAAGCAAUCUAGCUACCCAAUAAAAGUCAAUUUGAUGACAUCUUGUAUUAAUGGAGUCACAUAAAUUGUUAAAGAAUAAUAACCAUAAAUUUUUAUUCUUAUUGAUCCUCAUUACACUUAUUUUGAAAGCACACUAUUGGCAGUUUGAAACCGCGGGAAAUUUUUUUUACCGUCAUUAAAUUUGUCACAAUGAUUCUAAUCUCUCAUUAGAUGCGCACAUAAAAAACCAAAUAAAUCUAUUUGACAGUUUUGAAGCAUUAUUGGAGGCAGAGUUUAAAGUUUUAAAUAUCUAGCAUAACAUAAUAAAGGAUAUUCAUAUACUUAUAAUUUUUAUAUUUCAACUUUGCCAUUUUUAAAAUUUGACAAAUGAAAUCAAUAUUUUCAUUCUUCCCAUUCAGAAGGACUCAGACAUUUUGUAAUAAAAAAUUAAAGGCAUCAAAAUUGUGUGCCGAUUAACAUUGCUAUAGGUAAUACAAAAAGAUUAUCUAAUGUGACAUGUAUGUAUUACUUAAUGUUUUUAUUUUUCAAUCGAUAUGUAACAAAAAAAAUAUUGAUAUUAAUUGAUUGUGGUUAUUAGACUUAGAAAAUUCUGAAAACCUCAAUUUUAGCCCAAUUUGGAGCACAAUGAUCAUUAAAUUAGAGAUUUAGAUUCAAAAGUCGAUAACAGAUUAGGGUAGGUGUUAGUACUUCCUCUGCCAAUACAAAAUGAUACAUAUCUAAUUGCAUCGAUUUUUAUACCUUAAAUUAUUUAUUAAAAUAAAAUACAUUUUUUUAUUUUUGUAUCGGACAAAAGCUAAUCUUAUUUCUAAGUAUUCCUAAGUACACUAGAGAAUCAAGGCUAUAUACUUUUGGGUUUAGAAAUGAAUUACUUGGUUUGAGAGAUUUAUUUAAUUUAUUUUUUGGAAGAUGAUUUAGAAAUUAUUUUUUGUUUAUCCACUUUAAGAGAGUGAAAUAACAACACUUGUGUUUGCACCACAAGUCAAGUUAAAUGGAUGGAUUUUAUCAAUUUAUGCGAUACAAUAAUACUCAUGUUUGCACCACAACUAUAUCAAAAAGGAUGGAUUUUUUUUAUGUUAUACUUACCCAACUUAAGUGAGUAAAGCAGCGUCACCCAUAUUUACACCUUAACUCAACAUAAAGAGAUAAGUUUUUUUUAACUAAUUACCUUCUUAACCACUUUAAGUGAUGUAAACCCUCCUAGGGAAACCUUUGACCCCAAGGACAAGAGAAGUCAUGAAGGUCCUAUGACUAGGACCAAAGCCAAAUCAACAACCUUGAAGGUCUCAAAAGACUCAAUUGACCCUGGAGAUUACAUGAAGGAAGGACAUUCAUGUCCUUAGGUUACAUUUCAAUUUAGGUUUAUUUUAUUUGCAUUGAAUAAAAUAAAUGAAAUUGCAUUUUCAUAUAGUCUUAGGUUUAUUUUCAUUGAAGUAUUUUCAAUUCAAUAAAUCAUGGGAGGGUUGGGAAAUUAUUUAUUCAUUUGUAUCAUGGCCCAUUAAUGGCCAAGUAGUUUGUUUAGGCAAUGGAGUCACGACUAAGGCAAGUGUAACAUGGCUAGGACAAAGCUCAUUGGUACUACUAGUACAAUUGGAAUCAAGACAUGAUCAAACUCUUACAUGGCAUGAAUCAAGACAAGAUAGCAUGAUUCAAGGGAGUGUGCACGACUAUGCUUUUAUUUUUCAAAUGGAGUUGAUCAAAUACUCAAGAUAAAGCACAACUACACUUAAGGGAAUCAACCAGGUUGGGUUGAUAAGGCACAACUACAUUUAAGGAUUGAUAAGGCACGACUACACUUAAGGGAAAUCAACCAGCUUAUAUUAUGAAAAUCUAUUUCUAUUUUGCUUAAAGAUAAUGUGAAGAUUAGGUGAUUUGUUCAUCACAAAUUUUAGCCAUCAAAAAGUCCUAUGAUUAUGGAAUUCGGCCAAAAGAAUUCAAAAUCCUUCAAGGUAGGCGUGUCCAAGUUUAAGAGAUAAGGUAGAAGAUAGAUCUAAUCUUCAACCUCCAAAUCAGCCAUGGCCAAGUUUCAACAUAUUCCUAGUCAAAGAUCAACAUCUAACAAACUCAAAUGACAAGGAGAUUUCGGCUCAACCAAUUGAUAUUAGUUAGGAUUUUAUUCUUUUGUUUAUUAGAAUUAAAUUAGGUUUAGACUUAGUUCAUUUCUAUCUUUUCAGCAAGGUAAAUCUGCCUAUUUAUAUUUUGAAUGGUGAUUAAUAAAAGUUAAGUUUAUUUUUUAUAAAAAUCGGAUUUGUGUUUUUAGUAGAGAAUUAUUCUCCUAAACCUAACUUGGCCAUGGCCAACCUUUGUUCUUAUUAAGCAUCCUUGCUUGUGGUGGACCUCCAUAGACUUAUCAAGUUACCUUACUUGUGGCGUCACCCCCUUCCAUUCUUAAUCUAUCUUCACCUCCAUCAUACAAAUCACUCACCUAAAAACUUAUAUAUACAACCCCAACUGAAGACACCAAACUUACAACUCAUACCCUAACCGAAAUCGACACCCCUCAUUCCAACAUCCAACCGAAGUCCAUCAAACCCUAAAUCAUACAUUCAGCCGUGAAUCAAUCCCCGACACAUACCCAAGCCAAACAACCCCAAACCCCACAACCAUCCUACCUUAAACACUCCAACCGUAAACCAUAACUCUAUAAACCAAUCCCUUAAACACCAAAAAAAUCCACCAACCCUAAAUACCUUAUCAAGUCGAGACAAUAUAUAACCCAUACACAAACCCUAGCCUAUUUAAACCUCCAAACCAAACCUAAAUCCUACCAAAAACCCCAACUUUUCAUACCAAACUGAAUUCACACAUUAAUAAGUCUAAUAUCAAGCUAAAACAAUCCUAAUUCUAAGGCAACUCUCAGGAGGUUGUCAUCAUUAAGUGAGUAAGGCAACAACACUCGUGUCCAUGCCGCAUCUUGACUUAAUUGAUAAGUUUUUUUUAAUAAAUUAAUUUCGCUUAGCUACUCAAAAUGAGUGAGACAAUAGUACUCGUGUUCGCACCACAUCUCGACUUAAAAAGAUAAGUUUUGUUAAUUACCUAUUUACCAACUUCAAGUGAGUGAGAUAACAUCACUCGUGUCUACACCAUAACUCGACUUAAAGAAAUAAAUUUUUAAAAUUAAUUAAGUUCACUUACCUACUUCAAAUGGGUGAAACAGUAGCGCUCGUGCCAACAUCACAACUUUAGUAAUUAUCAGCACACUCACUUCAAGUGAGUGAGGCAGAAGCGCUUGUGUCCGCAUCACAACUUUCUACAUAGUUUUUUAAUUAAAUAAUUAAUAGAAAUUUUUACAAUUCAAUUAUAAUAAAAAAUUGCAUAAAAAGCAACCUUAUACAUAAUUGCCGAAUAUACAAAUAUUAUUACUAUUUCAAUUAACAAUUAUUAAAAGUAAACAUGAACUUUUAUUAUUAAUUAUCAUUAGCAAAGAUGAUAAGUUAAUAAUUCAUACUAUAAAAGUAUAUAUCUCCUAUUUUAGUUGUUGUUUAUUUAAUUAUCACUGUUAUUUUUUAUUAAUUAAGAAACAAAAAUAGAAAGAAGAAAAAAUGCAACGUCCAAAAAGACAAAGAUGACUAUUGGCCAUAUUCGACUUUUUUUAGCUUGUGGCCGAAACCCAAGGGAAUUAUGUGCAGUGAAUACGAGGCACAGAAAGAAGGAAAAGCUGUUGUGCUUUGAUUAUGGAUCAUCUCCUACCCUAACAAAUAUCAAUGAUAUGUAACAUUUAAAUUUUUUUAACGGUAUAAAAUAUAACUUUUUUAAAUUAAUUUUUUUAACUGUAUAAAUUUUAAAUUAUUUUAAAUUAAUUUUUUUAUAUUAUUAAGUUAAAUUGGAUCUCAUCUGAAUUUUCAUUAUUAGAGAGGAUCUCAUCCCAUUAUGAACUAUUACUAACACAAAACUCAUCUUCUUUUUUCCUAUUUUGGGAAUGAAUUUUUGACAUGAUCAAUCUCCUAUUUAUAAUCAAACUCACACAUGUUAAAAAUAAUGUGGUAUCCUUCAAUUAAUUGACCCAUUAAAAAUGUUUCAUUUUUUAAAAAUUUGAAAAUGAAACCGGAUAAUUAAUGGCUAAAAUUGGAUUAUUCAAACUCAGUAUAAAACAAGUUUCAGGAUAAAAAAAAAUGUUUCUUGGGAUGAAAAAUAACCUAAUAAAGUUAAAACCCCAAAAAUUAUAGUACUAACCACAAUUGAGUAAAAAAAUAAUUAUUUAACCUAAUGGGAAAUUGACUUAAUUUUGCUUUUCAGAUGUUGCAUGUUAAAAUAUAUGGUAAUGUAGGAAAUAUAAUGUUUAAAUUUUUUAUUUAUUUAUUUAUGCAUGAAUGAACAAGUGGAUGAACGCUAAAUGAUAUUUUUUGUUUUUGUUUUGAUUAAUUGAAUAUAUGAAUGUUUGAGUGUUUUAAUGAUUUUUAAUUUUAUUUUUUUAAAUAAAUGCAUAUAUGAAUAGAUGCAUUAGUGAUAUGGAUGAACAUGAUAUGUAAUGACAUGAAUGCAUUUUGCACAUCCGUAGGGUCAUAAAUCUAUUUCAAGGAAAUAUAACCAUAAUUAUAAUCUAAUAAAAUGUUAUGAUGAAUUUGACAUCUAUUAUACUUUGAAUGUCAAUUUAGAACUAAAUAGUGUAACUUUGAGGUUUUUAACAUGACAAAAAUUUACCUCGAGUGCAUUGAGCCCAUAGACUUUUAUAUGACAACUAGAGUUCAAUUGAUUACUUCACCUAAUUAAAGAUCCUAUGACAUGAAUUGGAUGACUUUAGACCUCUCCCUAAGUGCACAAGUGAUGUUAAAUGCACUUGUGAUGCAUUAGUGAGUGUGAAGAAGUAUAGAACAAAGGAUAAAGUGAUAAGAUUCUUAGAAAGCUUGAAUGAUGCAUACACUAUUGUGAGGUCACAGAUAAUGUUCAUUGAGCUAUUACCGAACACGAGUAGAGUGUUUUAUUUGGUGAUUCAAUAAGGAGACAACUAUAUUGCAAUGCGAUAUAGGUAAGACAUUAACAAAUGGAGCUAAUUGGAGAAGGGGAUGAUUCUCAGGAAGGAAUUCAAGCAAUAGGAGAGGAGGUCCAAUUAUUUUUGGCAGAGGACAAUCAACUUGGAAUAAUAUGGGAUACAAAGGAUCCAACCAUCAGCAAAUUUUGUACUCGGAGCAAGAAGAGUGGUCAUAGAGGGGAACUUUUUAUAGACUACGUGGAUUUCCUGUAAACAAACUAACUGUGCAGUGGUUAAUGAUUCCCAUGUAGAAAGUGGCCAUCUAAAUCAACAAGAAAUCUACCACUACAAGGAAGAAGAAGGCAAUUUAUUUGGUUUAACCAAACAAUAAUAACAAUUAUUGAUGAAUCUUCUUAAACAAUCUAAUUCAAAUCCAGAGCCAAGAUGGCAGAAGGAAGAACUUGGAUCUUAUGCACUACAUCUAUUGUAAAAAAUGCAUAAAUUGAAGGUUAUCAUGAUCCAAAAUGUGAAUGUAUCAUGAAUUUUAGAUAGUGGUGUCGCUGAUAAUUUAUUUCUUCUUUAUCCAUAUUCUCCUCAUACCACAAAAUAAAACCUAUUAGAGUAAAACUCCCAAAUAAGAUUGAAUUAAUCACACAAAUUUUAGUAACCAUCCCCUCACACAACCACUAACCAUAUACAAUAUGUUAUCCAUUACUAAGCUUACCUAUGUUUCCUCUUUUGUUCUAUCCUUUGAUACAUCUUUCAAGAUUGAGGAGAAGGAUACUUUGAGAUGAUUGGUGGAGGUAGGCUUUACAAUAUCCUAUGUUCUCAUGAAAAUCAAAGUUGAGUCCUUAAACUAUUGCAAGGCUUUAUAGCUAUGGCUGAUACUCAAUUUUCUAGCAAAGUCAAGGUAGUUAGUGUUAAAUGCUAAAUUGGUCAUAUUUUAUAUAAUUUUUAUGACACUUUAACUACUUAAUCAACUCAAAUGACUGAAAUUAUAUUAAUACAUGAUUAAAACUUGUUUAAAUAUUCAAGUCUCACCUCUUUAGUGUUUUCUAAGCUUAAUCCGGAUGAAUUAUGGCAAAAAGAUAAGUGCUAAAUAAAAACAAGAAUUCAGCCAUGACAUGUCAGAAUAAAAUCAAAAUAACACAUUCGUUCACCGUCAAAUCGAGCUGAAACUUUGAUAUGUUGUUCUUAAUUGAUGGAGCUUCAAUGUGAAUGGUCGGAUUGUCGAAAUGAUCAAAUAUAGCUGCACCAAGCACUGAUUUCCACGCCUAGUGAAAACAUCAUUGAAAGUUAGCAUUUUGCCACUUUUUCAUAUGCGUUUAGUGCACCCACUUGCGCUAAGCGUGGUGGGUGGUGUGCUGAGCGUACGGAGGUGCACCCAAUGCAAGUGGAUGCGUUGGAAGGUCACCAUAGGCCAAAGGAGGUGCGCUAAGCGCAUAGGAUAGCACUAGAACACUAUUUAAGGACUUCUAACUCAAACCAGAGGAUAUACACUUCGUAAUAAUUUGUAAUAAUUCUUUUUUGAGUUUCUAAGGUAGUUUAGCUCAUUUUAAUCAUGAAAUCGAGGUGUAAGUAUUAGAGAAGUUAAUGUUUUCUCUAUCCUACUUACACCUUGUGAACAUGAGUAGUUAAAACCAUUGUCGGGAUUGAAUGUAACAUGAGUUUGAUGUAUAAACACUGAUUCACCAUUUAUUCAUGAAGUUCUGAUUAUAUUUUAGUUGUGUAUUUACUUUAUACUUGCUUUAAGUUUGAUCAUCUUAUUGCAUGAUAUUAGAAUAAGUUGCUGUGGUUCUUUCUUGCAUUAUUUUGUACUUGUAUAAUUCAAUAAGUAGUACAUUUGCUAGACAUAGACGUGUAUUAUUUGUCAUUUCAUACACUUCUCUUUUUGGUAUGUAGAUAUAGAAAUAAUAUUGUGAUUUUAUAACUCUCAAACUGAAUAACAUGUGUUACUAGACAUAGAGAUGUGUUUGAGGGUUCAUAAAAUUGAAUUUUAUUAUUGUAGCUACUAGACAUAAAUCUACUUUAGGUGAAGUGCUAUUAUAGACCAAGACAUCGACGGCCAGCACUAGCACAAUUGAGGUGUUGCAUUUUUACUCAACUUACAUGGUUGUAUCACUAGACAUAGCAGCAUGAUUUUGUAAGUCAUAUUGCUUAUUAUUAUGUAUCAAAGUCACUAGGCAUUGGGCUUUCUUGCAUAAGUUGCUAAAUUGACUAAGACAUUAACUUUUAGUAAUUUUGAGGUCAUUUUAUGGAAUAAUCAUUACAUAAUGAAUUGCCUUAAGAAUCAGGUAUGCAAAGAUAGUAAGUGUGAAGUUCAAUCCCAAUUCUCUUUAUCAUUAUAAUUUUGAUUUACUUGUGUCAUCAAACAAACAAACCCUUUGAAUCAUAACUUAAAAUAAUAUUUUUUUGUUGAAAGGCUAGUAUCUAACAAGUCCUUGUGGAUACGAUAACCCCUUACUCUAUACUUGCUUGUGACACCAAGGUAAUAUUUAUAUUCCUAUUUUCCGGUUAGCAAUUAGGAGCAAUAAUAAACAAAAAUUAUCUAUGAUGUCAUUUUACUCAAGUAGAGAGAUAAUACAUCAAACUUCUUGUGUCUACACUCCCAAAUAGAAUGGAGUAGCAAAAAGAAAACACCAAAAUUUAGUAAGGACUCUUUUGAUCCAUAGCCAAUGCCCAAGAUUUAUUGGUCUUAUGAUGAGAAACAUAUUGUCCAUUAAUGUGUUACCUACACCCAUCUUAGAAGGAAAAUCACCUUAACAAAUGCUCCACCUUAGGAAGCCUCAUUUAUAAUACUUUAGGGUUUUCAAAUGUUUAUGUUACAUAUGUUAACUUAUCAAUAAUGAACAGAACCAAACUUGACUUAGGAGCAAACAAGUACUUGUCCCUAGGCUAUAAGAAAGGUAUCAAGGGAUAUAUAGUGCUCAAUUUGAUCACUAGAGAAUUAGUGUUCAACAUAAAAUAGUUUUCUAUAAGUUCAUCUCUCCCUAUAGAAAACUAAGCUGGAUUCCUUUUCACCACAACUCAAAUCGCCCAAAUUUAUUAGACAUUGAUCCUACAGAAAAUACCUCAACUCUAUAUGAUGACAUGUUCAUUACUAGAACCUCUAUAAACUUAUAAGACAACAUACUCAAUCCCCUUCGCCCAACUUAGAUGAAUUACCAAAUGCCAAUCCAUCAUGUACAACACAAAAACAAAAAUCAUCUCAUAUACCUAGAAGAAGUGGUAGAGUCACAAAACCUCUUAUCACUCUUACAAGAUUAUCACUAUGAUUUAAUUCACAAUAUUAAUUGUGUUGAAUCUAAUACCACAACUUCCUAUCAAAUCUUUUCUUAGUUAUCCUAUGACUCCCUCUCCUCACCACAAAAGAAAACAAAUUUAUCCAUCUUUAGACAUAUUGAACUCAAAUCAUACACACAAGUCAUACAACACAAUCACCAGAAAAAUGUUAUUCAAAAUGUACUACAAACCCUUUCUCAAAAUAAUACUUUGAUGCUAACUACCCUACCUAAAGACAAAUUAACUAUUGGAUGUAAGUGAAUCUUCAAAAUAACACACAAGGAAUAUGAUAACAUAGAAAUAUAUAUGGCUAAGUUAGCGGUGAAAGGAUAUACACAAAUAGAAGGGAUAAAUUACUUGGAUUCAUUUUCAACAAUUGUCAAUAUAACCACUAUGAGGUUGUUAAUUGCUCUAUUAUCAAUUGAUAAAUGGUUUAUAAAACAAUUAGAUUUGAACAAAGUCUUUCUCCGUGGAGACCUAAUAGAUGAAGUAUAUGACUCUGUCUCCGGGAUUAGUUUCAAAUGGAGUUAACCAAAUAUGCAUACUUCAGAUAUCUCUUUAUAGACUUAAACAAACUAGUAGGCAAUAGUUUUCCAAAUUAUCCACCUUCUUAAUCAAAAGUGGAUAUGAGAAAUCCAAGAGUGAUCAUUCUUGAUCAUCAAGUAUUCAUCCAUUGGUUCUAUCACUAUUGUUCCGGUCUAUAUGGAUGACAUUAUCUUAACUCACAACGAUCUAAGUGAGAUUAAUGAACUCAAAACAAGAUUGGACAAUGCUUUCCCGAUCAAGUAUCUUGGUGAUCUGAAGUACUUCUUAGGAUUCAAGAUAUCUAAGGAAUAAAGAAGGGCUCUCAAUGAACCAAAGAAAGCAUACCUUGGAGAUAAUAUCAGAUGUAGGACUUCUGGCUUGCAAACUUUAUCCUACUCCUAUGCUUGCUCGAACUCACCUAAGUCAAAUUCCAGUGAGCCUUAUGCUGAUCCAAUUGCCUAUAGCAGGUUAGUAGAAAGAUUGGUUUAUCUCACCAAUAUUAGACCUGAUCUUGUCUUUUUUGUCUAUCAUCUUGCUCAAUUAUGUCCACUUCCACCUAUAAUCACCAUGAUGCAACCCUUAGAAUGAUCAAAUAUAUCAAAGGAAUGCCUACACUUGCUCUUUUGUUUUCCUUAAAAUAUUCAACAUCAGUCACUACCAAUAGUGAUAAUGGUUGGGCUUAUUGCCUAGAUACAAAGAGAUCUAUCACAAGUUAUUGUAUCUAUCUAGGGAGUUCGUUGAUUACAUAAAAAUCUAAGAAAAAAUUGUCUAAGGGUGUUCCUGUGAGGCAAAAUAUAGAACUACGACUAUUACAACUUGUGAGAUCAAGUGGAUCACCUAUUUACACAAAGACUUGUAGAACCUACGUUUUUCAUCAACAAUUUGAUAUUGUGACAACCAAUCUACCAUUCACAUUGAUUAUAAUUCUGUCUUUCAUGAAAUGACGAAACAUGUAGAGUUGGAUUGUCAUACACUAAGAGAAGAAUGAUUUAAUGGGUUGGUCAAAAUUCUCCACGUCUCAUCUCAAGUUCAAUUUGCAGAUAUAAUCAUAAAAUCAUUAAGUUCCAAUGAUUAUGCUUCAAUCCAUCUAAAGUUGGGACUCCGGAAUAUCCGUGCCCCAACUUAUAGGGGUAGUAGACAAAGAAAAUAUAGGAAAACUUGAAACAAAGCAUUCAUAAUAUUUUUCUAUAUAUUAGUUUUCAAAAUACUAAUCAAAUUAUUGCUUGUGUAUACUCAUCACAUUACUAUAAGGUUAUAUUUUAAUUCCUCAUAUUUUAUGGUAUAUUAUUAGUUUUUGAUAUGUAUUUCAUUUUAUUCUUGAUAUUUCAAAAUUUGUAUCAAUUGUGAUCUUUAGUUUUUGGUGUGUUAAAUUUCUAGGUAAUAUUCUAAAAGUAUCAUCUCUAGCAUUUUUUAUUGUUCGUCCAUUUCAUAUUAUUAAUUCUAUUGGUAUGUAUUCAUUCAUGAAAAUAUACUUUAACACUUCUACUCCUUGAAUGUAUAUUUUGGUAUUUCAUCCUUAAAUAGUUCUUUUUAAAUUUAAUAUUCUAUUAAUGCCUUAUUUAAUAACAUAAUUCUUAAUGAUCCUUAGCUUAUUGUUGAUUUCAUUGGAUAUUUUUCUGUAUUACUACAAUUUUUCUUCCUUUUUAAUUAAUUAAUUUUCAUACUCUAUCCAAAUAACCUAUUUGUUUUAAGCAUGUAGAUUUGAGAUUUUAAAUAUUUAUAUACUCUGCUUAUUUUAUUGAACAUUCAUACUUAAUAUAACAAAGAUGCUUAAUACCAGAUGAGGAGAACUAAUUCUUGAAAAGACAUGCUUUAAUUGAGUUCAUAAAUAAAAAAUUAUUUAUUAGUCACAUGUCAAGAUGUAUACCAUAGACUACAUUUUAGACGGAACCUUGCCUUAUUUCAUGUGGAGGACUUGUUUCUAGUGCAAAAUCGUGCAUUGGUGCACGAACCUUCUCCUUUCUGUCUAUUACACAAAGCCGUCAUUUUAGAUAUGAAAGUAUUAUUUUUAACCUACGUUCUCAAAGAUCCUGAUUGCAAGUAUUAUUCUGAACCUACCAUCUCCACGAUCAAGUGAGUAUAAUUUUCAAUGAAGCAUGUUCAGGCUCAAACAAUUAUUUAACACCUCUAUAGGCAUGACCAAUAUUCUUUGAUAAAUGAGUCUCUCCAAACUCAUAGUUUUCUAGAGUUUUAUUAACAAAGUCUCUAAAUAUUUGUUGUAUGUGUAUUCUUUAUUUAGCCUCUUCAACCAAUAUCAAGUUAUUCUAUACAUUAGCCUCUAUAUACUAAGUGUGAGUAUUAUUUGUUUUAGCCUUUGCAAGCUUCCCAUAAACAAGUAUGAUGAGAACUAGUAUAACUAUUACUAGUUUACAAUCAAAUUCAAUUCUUCCAUACAUAUUGUGCAGUAUGAUUUAUUAUUAAGCCUAAGGAACAUUUGGAAAUAAAAAACUUUAACUUAAUAGAGGAUAAAAAAUGUAACUCAUGAUGAAAAUGUUUUCUAUAUACUAACUCAUUUCAAACUUGUUGAACUAAUUUUGUAGUUUACACUUUAUCUUUCAAAUGCAAUUGUUCUUUCUUCAAAUGAAGAUGUUCAUUCUUCAAGAAAGUAAAUUUGUUCAGCGGAAUGAAGACUAAAUUAUUUGAAAGACUUUGAUAUUUAUAGUCCUUAAAUAACCAUUGGCAUCUAUGAUAUCCGUCCAUUAUAGUAAUGAAGUCGUUCGUUGAUCUCUCACAUGCUUGAGUGCUGAUUUACCUUUUGUGUAUUGUUCUCCUCAAAAUUGUAAACUUGUUUUUCUGCAUAUUCUAUAGCAUUUUUCCAUUUCCGCUGUAAUCCUUUUGUCCUGGAAAAAAGCACUUCAGUUAUUACACGUAAGUGGAAAAUAUGAUUUCUUAAUUGAGAUAUGACUUUCUAACGAUCAGGUAUUUGUGUAAAAGAUGAUACAUGAGAAUAUCAACUUGAAAGGAACAACUCUGAAUAUAGUUGUUUGCUCCAACUCCCACAAAGAAGUCCUUGUGCAUUCUACAUGCCUCUUUAAAGAUGAAUGGGGGUUACACUGACAACAUGAGGCAUACACUUCAAGUGACGCUUCACAAAAAGAUGGAGAUUCUCAACAGAUAUGUUGAGUUUUAUUACUUUGAAGCACAACUCUCACUAAUGGUAGAUAGGCUAGUCAACUCUUUACCUUUCUUCAGAACACCACCAAAUAAAAUUUUAUAAUUUUACAUAUAAUAAUUAAGUUUGGUGCCUUCCAGAUUUUGAGAACAAACGUUCAAGUUCUGAUUGACGAGUCUCAAAUUCAACCCCCUCCCCUGCCCUCCUCUGCCCUCCCCAUGUUGGGUUCCCUCCUUAGUUGAUGGGAUAUCAUAACCAUUAAAUCUUGCUAGAUGUUCCAAUGAAUGUACUCAAUAAUGGACUUUCCAAAGUUUUGAAAUUAUUCAUUGACUCUUGAAGACAUAUGAACUUCAAUCUAGUAAGUUGAAGUAGCAUUUACAAGGUAUCUUGACAUCCGCUGUCUCACUUUUUGUAUCACUCUAUGUACAAUUAAUUCUGAUUGAUUGAAAAAAAAAUGUAAGUUAAAAUUAUAAUUAUUAAAUAUUUUUCUGGUCAAUCAUACGUCCUGACACAUAGAGUGACACAAAGCUGUGGGACGACAGAUGUGCUCCCCUUGGUCCCAUGGUUGGAAACUUAUCAAUUUGAGGAGGUUUUUCAACAUAAGAAUUCUAGGCGUCAUUUGUCCAUUUUUGCUCUAUUUUAUUUAUUCGCUUGUUUCCUUUUUAAGUGACCAUUUCGCAUCAAAAUGAGAUGUAAAUUGGUUCUAAAUUUUCCAGCGCCCUAAAGCUUCUUUGAUGUGAACCUCUUGGGUAAAAGGCUCUUGAAACGAUCUAUCUUGGUUGGUGUAUGGCCUAGGCUCACGGUUGAGUAGAGCCCUUGGGAUUAAGCAGCGGAAAUGAAUUGUAUUUGGAUAAUAGAAGUUGGAAAAUAUUUGAGGUGGAGGCGCCACAACACUUGAGGUGUUGAUAAGCCAAAGUGAUGCUCGCCACAAGAACUUGGUUCUUGAUAAGAACUUCUAAUUUUGGUUCAGUCAAGAAGGUUUAGAGAAUACUCUCACAAGGAUAUAAUCCUUUUUGAUUCACAAAGGAAUUCAAUAUAGGCAAGCCUCUAAGGCUCCCACUGUUUGUAGCUAAGACUCAUGCUUAGCAAGUUUACAUUGGAUGCUCUAAAACCAAAUGAAUCUACUCCUAAAUUACACUAUAUUCGAGUAGUAAAGGAAAUUGCACAUGUGUUUCGUGUGCUUUAUUACAAUUGAAAACAAACUUAAUGACAUGACCUAAGGUGCUUGAUUGCCACGGUUGGAUAGUGAUGAACAUAGGAUUCCUUUUCUCCUUAAGUGCACGACUCAACCAUUAAGUGAUAUGAUCAAGAGACUUGAAGACUCCUUAAUGCUCACGACUAAGCUUUGAUGAGCUUCAUUGGAUUCUCCUAAUUUGGCACAUGGGAAUUGUUGGAAUUAAGCCUUCUUAAUGCUCCUCGGGUACACUUGGACUUGGCAUAGGAUUCCUUUGCUAAGGAAUGAAUUUCCCAUGGCUAAGUGUUGAUUAAGGAUGCACUAAAUAGCAUAGGAUGUCGUUGGUGCAAGAUGGUAGGCUGCCAACGGCUAAGACAUGUGCAUAAAGCACCAUUGAUGCACCAUUAAGGUCUCAAACGACCAUAUGCAAAUUCCAGACGAGCAACUUUGCUCCAACAGCUCUGAAAUUAACUUAGGAUUCCUCUGAAUGAAUUGUGCCCAGGUGGAUUUAGCUCCAAUGGUCCAAACAUAGUGUUUAAGCCUCAUAAAUGCUCCAUUAAGCUCCUCCACGAUCACUUUGUGAUUCCCUUCGAGCAAUCUCCCUCUAACGGCUACAAUAGUCUUUAUUUACCUACCAAAUAAUAUUAGACAAGUUAGAAUGAGUUUGGUUCACGAAAAUUAUAAGUUGGUCCAAGCAUUAAAGUGUCANNNNNNNNNNNNNNNNNNNNNNNNNNNNNNNNNNNNNNNNNNNNNNNNNNNNNNNNNNNNNNNNNNNNNNNNNNNNNNNNNNNNNNNNNNNNNNNNNNNNGUCAAUUUUUAUGGGCAGAUUUAUUACAAACAUUCUUAAAUUAAUUAAACUAAGUGUUGGACAAAAGUUAGCCCACACAUUUAUUGUAAUAUUUAAAUUUUCUCAAUACUAAUUAAAUUGGCUAGGUUUGACUCAGUCAGGCUACACCCAGUGCCUGAUGCGGCACGCUAGGCGCAUGCGCCUCGGUCAGAUUUCCUGGCCAUGCCAGUUUGGCCCAGCGCCUGGUGCAACACUGGGUGUACCAAAGUCCCCAACUCGGUCAGGAAUUGAGCCUGAUGCGUCUGGCUCCAUGCUAGGGCCAUUUUUGGUGCCUUGGUCAGACCUGUGGCCUGACUCAUGCGCAUGGCCUGUUCCAUCCUUGGCUCGGUCAGAACCAUGGACUAAGAUGCUGGUGAGCAUCUUUAAACCCCCUUGGGCUAUUUUUGGCUCACCAUCAUGGAUCAACAUUAUGAGUUGUCCAAGGGCAUUUUGAGCCCUUUUUGCUCUAGUCAUAGUCAUAGGACCACUUAUGCCUUUAAGACCAUCAAUAUCAAGGUUAGGCUCUUUGAGGUUCAUAUCCCCCCCCCCCCCUUCUUGCAGAUAUUUCGACCUCGAAAUUGUGUCUUCUUCACCUACAUCAAAUGGAAACAAACCAUUAACAUUUUCUGAAUCAUUAUUAGAUAAAUACUUCCCUUGCCUUCAUAUGCUUUUUGCUUUGGUACAAUCUUUAGUAAAUUCUACUUGAUUGACUAAGCCAUCCAUGAGUCCAACCUGAAGACAAGUGAUCAUUGUCUUGGCUUCCCAUCCGUCAUCAACUUCUUUGAUGAUUCCAAGCUCCUGAAAAAUUCUAGAAAUAUUUUUGGGUAAAACAAAGUUAGUUGUGAACAUAAAUAGAGGUGUAGUGAGUUGUUUGGUUAGAACAACUCUUUGAUCUUCCACUUUAUCCAUAAGAUAUAGUGGCUUUUUCUCUUUCUGUAUCUUCUCACUUUCUUUUGUUUUUCUCUCAUUUUCUUUUUUUUCUAGUGCUAUUUUUAUUUUCAAGAUAUGCUUGUCCUCUAGUACUUGCUUAGAGGUUAAUGGAGAAAGUAUCACCCUCCUUUUGUUGUGUAUCAGUGUAUACUUUUUUGUUCUUCCAUCAUGUGUUGCCUUUUUGUCAUACUGCCAUGGACGGCCUAGUAACAAAUGAUUAGCCUCCAUAUCCACCACAUCACAUAGAACCGAAUCCUCAUAGUUCCCAAUAGUGAAAGGAACUUCAACUUGUUUAUCAACAACCAUUUCUCCUUCCUCACUCAACCAUUGCAACCGGUAUGGAGUGGGAUGUGUCUUAGUUUCAAGGUUUAGUUUUGACACUAGCCUUGUACUAGCCACAUUGGUGCAACUUCCACUAUCAAUUAUCAAACAACAAACCUUACCACCAACUAGACAUCUUGUGUGGAAGAUGUUUCCUCUUUGGUCAGCUUCUUGGUCUUUGAUUUGGCUUCCUAAUAGCCUCCUCACCACAAGCAAGUCACCUUCAGGAACAUUAGCAUCAUCCUGCUCAUGACCACCCUCUUCAUCACUUGAGGCUUUGGAUUGAGAUUCUAUCUCUCCAUUAGUCAUGAUCAUUGUCUUCCUUGUAGGGCAUUGAGAAGCAAUGUGCCCAAGGCCUAAGCACUUGAAACACUUGACAUCUCUACUCCUUUGACUUGGGACCACGGCUAGUUUACCUUGGCUUGUAGUCAUGGCUCCUUUGGUGCUAGGUGUAGCUUCCUUUGUUGGACUCUCCUUCUUGAGUUUGUCCACCCACCUUGAUGAUUGAUACUUGGAACUAGAACUAGAAGAGAAUUUAGACUUUUUUCGACUCAAUUGCUCCUUUACCUUCAUUGCUUGUUGCACAAGAUCAUCCAACUCAACAUAGUGUUGUAAUUCAACAAUGUCUUGGAUGUCUUGAUUCAACCCAUGUAAGAACCUUGCCAUAGUGGCUUCUCGGUCUUCAUGGAAAUUUGAUCUCAACAAGGCUAAUUNNNNNNNNNNNNNNNNNNNNNNNNNNNNNNNNNNNNNNNNNNNNNNNNNNNNNNNNNNNNNNNNNNNNNNNNNNNNNNNNNNNNNNNNNNNNNNNNNNNNUCAAGGUAAACCUCUGGAUCAUUUUUGCCAAUAAAGGUUGGAACCUUUAUCUUGACCCCUUCUACUUUGUUAGCUUCUCUUCUUCUCCCUCUCAUUGCUUCCCUCCUUUGUCUACCCCUGCUUCUCUCAUCAUCCGAGUCACUUGAAUAUCCAUAGGCUCGGUUCUCAAGCCUUCUAUCAUAUUCCAAUUUCAUUUGCUCCAUUUGCCUUUGGAGUGUUUGGAAUUGUGUGGUAAUAAUGUCGUGUAGGGUUGCGGUCCUUGGGGACAAUGGAGAACUAUCACUCUCGUGAUUAGAAAUUUCACUCAAACUCACGUGUAUCUCUCACUUUUUGUUUAUGGAAAAUGUAGGGAAUUGUGUAUCACUCAACACUCUAUCCUUCACGGCCUUCUUAAGUAAACCAAGUUUUGAACCAAGAAUUUUGUGAAAGAAAAUCACUCCAACUUCUCAUGAAAUAAAAUCACUCCAACUUCUCAAAAUUGGAACGUUGUGACUUGAGUUACACCUCAAAGAAGAAUUUGUCACUUUUUGUUUAGACUCUUUUCGGAUUCUUUGAACUUUUGAAGAAUCACUUUGACACUUUUUGACACUUUUGAUUUUUUGGACUUUGACUCUUUUUGAUUUUUGGACUUUGACUCUUUUUGACACUUUUUGAUUUUUGAAUUUAGACUUUGACACUUUUUAAAGAUAAAGAUAAAUAAAGAUAGAUAUAUUCACGGCCAAAAGAAGAUUAGUGAACACCAAGCAAGAGACUAGCUCUGAUGCCACUUGAUGUGAACCUCUUGGGUAAAAGGCUCUUGAAACGAUCUAUCUUGGUUGGUGUAUGGCCUAGGCUCACAGUUGAGUAGAACCCUUGAGAUUAAGUAGUGGAGACGAAUUGUAUUUGGAUAAAAGAAGAUGGAAAAUAUUUGAGGUGGAGGCGCCACAACACUUGAGGUGUUGAUAAGCCAAAAUGAUGCUCGCCACAAGAACUUCCAAUCUUGGUUCAGCCAAGAAGGUUUGGAGAAUACUCUCACAAGGAUAUAAUCCUUUUUGAUUCACAAAGGCAUUCAAUUUACUUUCAACUCAAUGUGUUUAUUUCAUAGCAAGAAGUAUUACAUUUAUAGGGAAGCCUCUAAGGCUCCCACGGUUUCUCAUGCUUAGCAAGUUUACAUUGGAUGCUCUAAAACCAAAUGAAUCUACUCUUAAAUUAGACUAUAUUUGAGUAAUAAAGGAAAUAGCACAUGUGUUUCGUGUGCUUUAUUACGAUUGAAAACAAACUUAAUGACAUGGCCUAAGGUGCUUGAUUGCCACAGUUGGAUAGUGAUGAACAUUGGAUUCCUUUUCUCCUUAAGUGCACGACUCAACCAUUAAGUGAUAUGAUCAAGAGACUUGAAGAUUCCUUAAUGCUCACGGCUAAGCUUUGAUGAGCUCCAUUGGAUUCUUCUAAUUUGGCACAUGGAAAUUGUUGGAGUUAAGUUCCUCGGGCACACUUGGACUUGGCAUAGGAUUCCUUUGAUAAGGAAUGAAUUUCCCACGGCUAAGUGUUGAUUAAGGAUGCACUAAAUAGAAUAGGAUGCCGUUGGUGCAAGAUGGUAGGCUGCCAAUGGCUAGGACAUGUGCAUAAAGCACAAUUAAUGCACCAUUAAGGUCUCAAACGACCAUAUGCAAAUUCCACACGAGCAACUUUGCUCCAACAUCUAAUCCGUGAAUGGUAGUGGAAAAUGAUCCUUCCCCUAUGACUUUGUUGAGCCUUUUGUAGUCAAUACACAUUCUCCAUCCAAUUACAAUGCGAGUUGAGAUUAGCUCAUUUUUUCAUUAGUUACCACUCUCAUACCACCCUUUUUUGGAACUACCUGGACAAGACUCACCAAAGAACUAUCAUAAAUUGGGUAAACCAUUCGAGUAUUCAACAACUUCAUCACUUUAGUUCUGACUACUUCCUUCAUUGUUGGAUUCAAACGCCUUUGAGGUUGAGAUACUAGUUUGUAUCAUUCUUCCAUAAAAUUUACGUGAAUGCAGUAAGAAAGGCUUAUACCUUUUAAAUCAGCUAUGGUCCAUCCGAUAGCCUCUUGGUUACUUUUCAACACCUCAAUAAGUCUCUCAUCUUGAUGCUCAACCAAAGCACUACUAAUAAUAAGAGGUUUUCCUCCUACACUAUCUAAAAUACAUAUUUCAGAUGAGGAGGAAGAAGUUGCAAGCAUUGGGUUGACCUCCACUAAUGCUUUCUUUGGGUUGACCUCUCUACCAGAAUCCAAGUCUUUCAAGCAUUGAAUGAAUUCCUCUUCUUCUUUGUUAAUGGUCAUGGUGUGAGAAUUUGUAAGAACUUCUUCUAGGAUAGUGGUUGAUCUAAUUAAUUCAUAAUUCACAACAAAUGCAUCAUCACAAAUAUCAAUAGCAAAACACUGCUCAUCAUCCUGUACUCUAACAUUCAAUUUUCCAUCAUCUAUAUCAAUAAUCACAUUUAUUGUCUUCUUAAAUGGCCUCCCCAAUAUUAGAGGCACCUCAAUAUCUUCACCAAUAUAUAAUAUCACGAAUUCAACGUGAAUAUGAACUUUUCCACAUUUACUAGAACAUCCUCCAUUAUGCCAUGCGGGUAUUUUAUUGAACAAUCCACUAAUUGUAGAGACAUUCUGAUUGGCCUAACCUCUAACUCUUCUAUCUUUUUUGGCAUAGAUAGGGCAUCAGAUUGAUGUUGGCCCUUAGAUCCAAGAGUGUUUUUCCCACCGAGAGAUGCCCAAUGGUGACUGGAAGUGUGAAGCUUCUAGGGUCCUCAUAUCUUUGUGGAAUAAAAUUCUGGAUGAUGGCACUACAACUACCAUCCAGCUCGAUAAUCUCUUCCUCCAAUAACUUACUCUUUUUAGUGAGCAACUCCUUUAUGAAUUUUGUAUAAUUAUGCAUUUGAUCUAGAGCUUCAACAAAUGGGAUGUUGAUCUACAACCUUUUGAAGAUGUCCAUGAACCUUAAAAAUUGCCUCUCCUUACACCUCUUUGUUGGUACUAUAGGAUAUGAGAUGUUCUACUCUUGAUAAUGUUUUACACCACUAUCCAAUCAUGCCUUUUCACUCAUGAUUUUCUCUAUACUCACUUUUUCGUCCUCUAUUUUUUCUUUUCUUUAUUUUCUGAUUUUUCAAAUCUUUGUAUUUUUUCUCCAUCCUCACUUUUACCACUCUUUCAUUUUCUUUUUCUUUUUCAACCACCUCCUUCUCAUCCUCUACAUCAUAACCUACCACCUUACCUCCUCUUGUUGUGAUUUCUUUGUAGUCUUCUUUUGAGUUUAGUUCAAUGUUGGCAUUAAAGGUUAUUCUUUGAUUAUCAGAAAUUUGUUUAGCUAGCUUUCCAAUCUACACCUCCAGAUUUUUUAUGGAUGCAUCUGUAUUUUCUGAUUUUCUAUGCUCAUAUCUAUAUAUUGAUUAUGAGUGUCUUCUAUUUUAGAAGGGUUUUCCUGUUGCUAAUGGUGAUAUUGUUUGUAGGUCAUCUGUCUGUUUGCAUAUGAUCUCCAUGAUUGUUGAUAUGACUUGUUGUUUCCCCUUUGAUAAUUACUAUGGAAUUGUUGAUUUUGUCUUUGUUGAUUUCCCAUGUAUUGCAUCUUCUCCUCAUGUGUGAUUGGAUGGGUACAAUAGUUGGUGGGAUGAUCUCCAAAACAGACUUCGUAUCUUGGGACCUUCUAGUGUGUUGGCUCUUUCAUGCCCAUGAGUUGUUUGGGUAGUUGAGCCAUUUGCUUAGUUUGUGCUUCCAUUUGUUUGUUCAGAGUUUUGUGUUGAGCUAGCAAUGCAUCUUGAUCGCCCAUCUCCAAUAAUCUUUUCUUUGUUGGAUUGACUAUCUCAUGUUGGCCUUGUUGAUCACUUGUUGUCAAUGCUUCAAUGAUUUGUAUGGUUUCUUCAUAGCAUUUUUCACAUCAAUGAACCAGUUGUUGUAGCAUCCAGGAUCAAUUUGUCUUGUUGUUGUAGUCCAUCGCAGAAGAUAUGGAUUUGUGUGAGCUCGUCGAAACCAUGGUUAGGGCACUUCCUUAAUUGUUAUUUAUACCUCUCCCACGUAUCACACAAGGACUCAAUUGCCCAUUGAGUGAAUACUGAAAUAGUUGUGUUGGCCUUCAUGUAUUUUGAUUGAGAGAAGAUUCAGUUCAGGAAUUUCUCCUCUAGUUGACUCCAAUUUGAAAUUGCAUGAAAAGGUUGAUCCAAUAGCGACCCUUUGCCUUUCUGAUCAUGGAGAAGGAGGAUAACCUCAAAAAUAUGGUUUCCUUCUUCUCUUCUGUUCCUCCCACUGUUCCUCACAAUUCAUAGAAAUUAAUUAGAUGAGCAUGUGGAUCUUGAUGAUCAAAUCUUGCGAAUAGGUUGGCAUAGAGAAGUUGAAUAAGUUCUGUCUUCAUCUCUAGUUUUCUAGCGUUCCUUUGUACUCUCCCAUAGUUUUUGAAUUGUUAUCAUCUCCUCAAACCAUUCCAUCCAUGAAUUUUUCUAGUGUCUUUUACUUUUGAAUAAAGGGUAGAGGAAAGUUUUGGUUUUGGAGUCUUCUUUUUGUCUGUUCUGGUUGACCAAUUGUUUCUUCUUAUUUGUUUAACUUUUGUUCAUUCUAGCAGUUUUCUUAAUUUUUGGAUCAUAUACUAGUUGGUCUUCUAGUACUUUUUCUCGCAUAACAGAAGAAACAAUACUACCCAAAACAGAUUAGAUAGUCAUGGCAAAUAAUAAACAUAACAUUAAAAAAAUACCAAAUAAAAUAAAAUUUGAUAAAACAUAAAAUAUCUAGAUGCAAGUCCCCUACAACGAUACAAUUUUGCUCACUGGAAAAUUAGUUGUUAUUUUGUUACAAAAUUGGAUUGUUGCAAACAGGUAGAUGAGAUUGUCUAAUCCACAAGGACAUGCUUGAUAUUAUUUUAAUUAGAAAACUUAUUAAAUUUGGAUUGAAAAAGGUUUUGCUUGAGGGAAAUUAUUAAAAUUAAAUUAAUGCAAAAGUAAUCAAUUUCAAGAUAUUAAGUUGAGAGAUGAAGAACUUGAGAUUAGAUUUUACUAUGUAUCCUCAAGUAUCCAAUAAUGACGUUUAUAUACGACUAUUUCUAUGAUUUUCCUACCACCACUUCUUAUCUAUUUAUCAAUUCCUUUAGUAAACAUACCAAAUUACUAAAUAAAUUAAUUCCCAAUCCUUUGACAAAUUAAUCAUAAUAAUAUGGGUGUUAGAAUGACUAGUUCAAUUAAUCCUAUUCCGAGGUAUCAAUAUGCUACUAGUUGAUAUAUUUUAGAUCUAAUUUAAACACAAAAAUUUCCAUUACUAAUCUCUAAACCUUAGAUCAUGCAUUGGGUGGUCAAACCAAAAUAAGAAUUAAGAAUAAGAAUAACAAAAAAACAAUUGAAUAAUAUUAACAAUUAAAUAGUCAUGACUAUUGAACACAUCGUGUUCAAAUAAUUAUAUCUAACCCUAGAUAGAAGGAUAUAGCUAUUCAUUCCCAUGAAAGCGAUAGCCAUAUGGUUGAUUGACAUUAUUCUUCUUCCCAAGUUCCCUAAAGUUGUUGCUAGUUCAAUCCUAAUAUUUUUUUUAUUGUCAGUGAUGAUAAGUAAUGAUUACAACCCAUUUUACUCUUCACAUUUAUCAUAAUCUUCCAUAGAUUUUUGUCCUUAUCUCCAUGAUACUCAUUAACAUUGGGCGAUUGCGUCUUUAUCUGCAAAGAUUCUGAUUAGAAUUAGAUGAUCGUGCCUUUAUCUUCAAAGAUUGCAAUUAACAUUAUGAUCUCUUUUGAUAACUUUGGCUCCUUUUAGCCUCUAAUUACCCGAAAUAGCAUAAAAGCACAUAUAAUAGGAUUUGAUGCAAAUAUUUGACUCGAUGUAUAUUGUGAGUUACAUUUAUGUAGACUUUUAAGGUUUAAAAAGUAUUCAAUACUUCUUAUUUAAGGUAGUUUUCAUAAACAAUACAUCUUCACGUGUUCAUAAAACUAUACCACUACAAAUUUGCUGGUUCCACUUGAAAGCUUUGUUUUUCGGAUUAGUAGGCAUGAUAUGUGCUUUAAGCAUCUGAUUUUUGGUUCUUUAUGUCUCUCAUUUCUUGUUUUGUACCUUCCAAUGUUACUAGAUUAGUUCAAAGUAGAAAAUUGUGUACCUUCCAAUGUUACUAGAUUAGUUCAAAUUAGGAAUUUUGUACCUUCUAUGAUAAUUUUGCAUACAUCCAAGUAGAAAGGGAGGGAGAGAGAAUUCAAAGGCUGACAUUAGGAAGUAAGAUGUUCAUAUCGAGAUAGACCCAAAAUAGAAAUUGCAAAAACAAUCUGAAAAGCGGGGUUAUUUCAGCAUUAAUUGUUAAUCGAUCAAUCUGGGGUUAUUUCAACAUUAAUUGUUGUUUUCGAAAAGCGGAUACUCUGACCGCUACACCUAUUCAACCCCCCUUCUAGGUGUAUUUUAGCCACUGAUAUCUAACACAUUGGACAAGUCAUAAGGUUGGUCCAUGGUUUUGACUGAGCCAAGGAUGGACCAGGCCAUGCGCAUGAGACAAGCCAUGACCCUGGCCAAGGCGCUAAAUCUAACCCUGGCACGGGAUUAGGUGCAUCAGGCAAUAAGCCUGAUCGAGACAAUUCUGUCUGUGGCAUAGGGGCAGGUGCAUCAGGCACCAAGCCUGACCGAGUUGAGUAUCAUGGCACACCAAGUUCUGAGCUAGUCGCUAGGCCAAUCUGGUCUGGGCAGGAAAUUUGGCCGAGGCACAUGUGCCUAGCUUGCUGCAUCAGGCGCUAGGCAUAGCUUGACCGAGUUAGGCCUAGCCAACAUGUUUGGCAUGGAACAUUUUUAAUUCUGUAAUAAUUGUGUGGGCCAAAUUUUGACCAACACUUAGUUUUAAUUAUUUGAGUGUUUGUUUAGUAAAUCGGCCCAUAAAUAAUGCUUAGUUCGAAAAAUGGUUCGUGGGACUUAAACCAAGCCUAAAAGUGUAAACAACACUUUAAUGCAUGAACCAACUUUUAUUUUUCAUGAACCAAGAGUAUUCUAAACUUUGUGUAAUGUUAUUUGGCAGGUAAAUAAAGGCUAUUGUAGCUGUUGGUGGGGAAAUGAUCGUGGGAAUGAGGAAGGUGAUAGUGGAAGGCUUACAUGAGGCAUUAAUGGUGCCAUAAUACCUUGUCUGGACCGUUGGAGCUUAAUCCACCUGGGCGUAAAUCAUCCAGGAGUAUCGUAAGUCAUUUUCGGAGCUGUUGGAACAAAUUUGCUCGACAUAAUUUGCCAUGGGCUCGUUAGAGACUUUAAAUGUGCAUUAAUGGUGCUUAAUAGCCAUGUUCUAUUCGUUGGAGGCUUGGUCUGUUGGACAACUUCACACCAACGGCACCCCAGGCCUUUUAACUCAUCAUAAUUCACCAUUCUGCCGAGGGAAUUCACUCUUUGGACAAAGAGGAUCUUAUGCCAAGCUUAAGUGCAACUGAGGGCCCUUAUGGAGUCAAUAACUCCAACAUUCUACUAUGUGCUAAAUUGUGAGCCAAGUCUUCAAAGAGUACAAGAAUCCUAUGAAGCUCAUCAAAGCCUUGUCGUGGAGUAUUAUAAGGACAUUAAGUCUCAUUCACCACGUGACUUAAUUUGAUCUCUUGUACUUAAGGAAGAAUGAAAUCCUAAGUUAUUCAAAGUUCAAUUGUGACAACAAUGCCAUCCUAGUCCAACAUCUUAAUGUUUUUACUUCAAUGUAAUAAAGCACACGAAUGACAUGUGCUAUGUUAAGUGUCAACCGAAUGUAGCCUAGUUUAGGAGUAGAUUCAUAUGUCAAAUGGUAUCUUAUGUUGGAUUAUCAUGGCUUAGUCUUUAUUGUCUUUUCUUUUACAAAUCAUGGGAGCCAAGUUGGCUUGCCUAUAAAUGUAAGUCUUUAUUAGUGGAAUAAACAAGUUAAGUUGAAGCAUAAUUCUUUGUGAAUUAAGGAUUAAAUCCUUGUGAGAGUAUUCUCUAAACCUUCUUGGUUGAACCAAGAUUAGAAGUUCUUAUCAAGAACCAAGUUCUUGUGGCGAGCAUCACUUUGGCUUAUCAACAUCUUAAAGUGUUGUGGCGCCUUUCACCUCGAGUCUAUUUCAUCUUCUUUUAUUCUACAAUUAUCAUUCAACUGCCUACUCAUAAAUAAAAGCUCAAUCGAACCGUGAGCUUGACCAAACACUAACCAAAAUAGAUCGUGCAAAGGGCCUUUAUCAAAAGGUUUCACAUCACUUUGUUAUUUAGGCAUGAUAUGUGCAUUAAGCACUUGAAUUUUGGUCAUUUGUGUCUCUCAUUUCUUGUUUUGUACCUUCAAUGUUACUAGCUUAGUUGUUUUGCUUAUUUUCCCGUCUAUACUUACGAAUGGGUAUAAGAUCUUGAUUCAUCUUUUAUUUUCUUAAUUUAUAACAUUCGGAAAAAACUAAUGAUAAAGUACAAAAGGGCCGAGAGAAUUCAAAGGCUGACAUUAGGAAGUAGGGAUGUUCAGAUUGAGACAUGCCUAAAAUAGAAAUCGAAAAAUAGUUCGAAAAGCCGAAACUGCAUAAAACUGAUAUUGAUUAGAUCAUAUAGGACUAGUUUUUAGAAAAUCGAUAAAUUCAGAUCAGUUUUUUAUUCCAAUUUCAGAAAUGAGACCGAAGCAAUAUUAAUUAUAUACAAAAUUGAAUAUUAUUUUAUUUCUAAGUGUAUUUAACAUUUCAAUUGAUAAUAUAAAAUAUAGAUUUUAAUAACUUCUAAUUGUUAAAAGUAUUAUUCCUUAUUAAUUAACACUUUCUUAUUAUUAAAAUUAUAAUUGUAUACUACUGAUGUUGUUUUCCUAGUGUUCUUUUUUUCGUGGUUUUUUUUUUUGAAUUUUUUCAUUGUUUUUAUUUUUAGUUUAAAUGAAUAAUAUUAAUGUUUUAAUAAAAGUGUAUAUAUCACAUUUGAUAUCAGAAAUCUUGGAAUAGACAUGAUGAUUUUUUAUGUUAACUUAACACUUUGAAAAUAUAUUAGACUUCUUAUUUUUAUGUAUCAUUACUAAAACAUGAAGUUUUCUACCAACAAGAUGUUGAUCUAGUGAUGUAAGGUCUUGCUAGAUUCUCAAGAUAAUCAAAAGGUCAAGAGUUCGACUCGUGGGAACGACAAUUGUUAGGAGGGGUGACCACAAACUCAAAAAGAGAUUAGUUCAAUCCAAAAGAAUGAGGAUAUACCCUUGAUAGUAACCAAAAAAUCAUCAAGCUUUCUAGAGUUAGUACUUUUCUCAUUGUUAAAAAUGACUCGUCAAAGGCAGAUCUUUGAAUGAACAUACACAUUUCACUAUUUCAGGAUACUUCCUUUAGCAUGAAUUGAACUUGUCUCUUUUAAAUGGGAGGAAGGUAAAGAACCAAACUCGUCCCAUAGCGUCCAAUUCAUAUUACACGUUUAUAACAAUGAAAAAGAAGUAUUAUAUAUCCUCCCCUAAAAUUGGUUUAUAAAUCAUUCUACAUUAUCAAAAANNNNNNNNNNNNNNNNNNNNNNNNNNNNNNNNNNNNNNNNNNNNNNNNNNNNNNNNNNNNNNNNNNNNNNNNNNNNNNNNNNNNNNNNNNNNNNNNNNNNUAAUAAUAAUAAUAAUGAUGAUAAUGAUGAUAAUAAUAAUAAAAUUGGUUGAUCGCUAUUAAAUUCUUGGGCUGGUUAAUAUAUAUCAAGGCAAGAAUUUAAAUAUGAUUGUAAUAGCUAUUGUUAUUGACUCAAACAUGAUAUUUUCUUUUAGCUUUAGAUUUUAUAUUUUGGUAUUAUUGUUAUAAAGAUUCUAUUUGAAAAUUAUAUUUUAUUACUUUUAGUAUUUUUUUAUAGAAAAUAUUUCUGGCAAAGAACAAUUUCCUAUUGCUUUAUAAUAACUUCAAAUUAGUAUUAAUUUCAUUAUUAUCAACAUUCAAAUUAUGAAUACUGUUUCAUUUACAUUAUAUGUUGUGAAUUCAUUUAAAUUACGUAAUUGUGUAGGAAAUUAAAAUAAAACAAAUUAUUUAAUAUUUGAACAUGGUAGAUUUAAAAUAGAUAUCAAGCACUGAUGUUAGAUUUUAGGAAAAUAGUUGAUUAUUUUUCCACAUGUCAUGGUACUAAUAUAUUAUAUUUAUAUUGAUAGAUAAAAUCAGCUGUACCGAAAAACAUUUUCUUAAGAAACUUGUAAACUCUGUUUCUUUAUACAUACUUUAUGAUAGUUUUCUUUUCUUUCUCUAUAAUAAAAUGUAUAAUUAUUAUGAGAGUGUAAUCUAAAAAUGAAUAAUUGUUUUGUUGAAAAACUGACACUUAGUAAUAAAUGGAGGGAGAAAUUUCAUACAUACAUGGCGGUCUCAAACAGCCCUUGGACUAACUCAAACUUCUUCAUUUAGUACACAUGAUUGCUCCACGUACAUGAUAUGAAUCGUUGAAGAUUCAAGCCUAUUUCCCUAUAUAUAUUGCAAAGCACAUUGAGUCCAUACUUCACCAGCAACCUUCAAAAACAAGAACUCCCCAUUUAUACCAAUUUGCAUAACAUUAAGCCAUCAACAAUGACUACCACCCGUGUAGCUCUCUACCUUACCUUUGCAUUCUUCUUCUAUGGUAAUAU